Non-coding RNA from Macaca mulatta (Rhesus monkey), 686 nucleotides. The record is from RefSeq and is a predicted model, not a curated record. NCBI's taxonomy places the organism in Eukaryota, Metazoa, Chordata, Mammalia, Primates, Cercopithecidae.
CUCCAUGCAUCAUAUAACCAGGCUUUGGAAAAGCUCUGAAAAAUGCACAUGGCAAUUGGAUCUAUUUUGCCCGAUCGUGGGAGUGAUAAAAACAGGCUUUUUAUCUGAGAUAUCGGAAUGUUAACAACAACAACAACAAAACCAAAGGUAGUGAUCAUUCUAAAAUGCAAAACAAUGAACACACUCAAGUUGAUUUUGGAUUUGACCAUACACGUUUCUCAGAAGAGGGAGCUUUCCUGUGAGUUACCCAUGAUAGAAGAACUGGCAGAUAAGAAUUCUUGGCAGUGAGAAUGCACAAAAGGAAUGAAGCAAAGUUAACUGGGGUUACAGGUCAGGGAGCAUGCAAGAACACGGGUAGAGUUGUGAUCAAAGGAACAAGUGGCUUAUGACAGAACUUCUUUACUAAAGACUCUGAAGUCAAAGUCAUAUUUGUGUUUAAUAUAGAGUAUCCUAUAUGCGUCAACGGGUAUGGAAUGAAAGAAAUGUAUUCAGAUAUGAAGAGAUGGGAGAAACAAGAAGGUCUGUAGAGAAAGUACAGUGAAUAUUUGAAUUUUUAUGUUGGGUCAUAUAAAUUGAUUUUGCUAGUGGCAUACCUUAACAUUUACUACUUACUGAGACUGUUACUAUGCAGUUCACUUUAACCCAGCAGAACAAAUGAAAAGUCUUUUUUGGGGCGGGGGAUGGAG